This is an RNA transcript of Prinia subflava (tawny-flanked prinia), 4318 nucleotides long. It is a transcript of the gene named methylenetetrahydrofolate dehydrogenase (NADP+ dependent) 2 like, with no coding region annotated. The record is from RefSeq and is a predicted model, not a curated record. The transcript has 8 exons. NCBI's taxonomy places the organism in Eukaryota, Metazoa, Chordata, Aves, Passeriformes, Cisticolidae.
UCCCUCAGGUCCGCCCUUCCCUCAGCUCCACCCGUCCAUGAGCUCCGCACGCUCCCGCCGCGAUCCGGGUGCCGGCAGAGGUCCCGGCUCCUCCCCUCGUCGCUUGGUUGCGGCGGCGCUUCCGCUCGUGGGGACCGACCGAAAUGGCGGCGGCCAGCACAGCCUUCUCCUUCUCCUCUGCCUCCUCCUCUUCUGCCGCGCUGCUGCGUCCGGGCUGGACUCCCCUGAGGCGAUGGCGAAACCUCACUCGCAGCACUAGCAGCUCCCCUCGCAGCGCCGCCAGUGACAAAGCAACCAUUAUCUCAGGGACAAAGCUUGCCCACCAGGUUUUGAAAGAAGUUCAAAGGGAUGUGGAAUCGUGGAUAUCCGCUGGGAACCAGAGGCCUCACCUCACUGUCAUAUUAGUAGGAGACAAUCCAGCCAGUCACAUCUAUGUCAGGAACAAGAUAAAAGCAGCUGCAGCUGUGGGCAUUUCUAGUGAGAUCAUACUGAGGCCUAAAGACAUUUCACAGGAAGAGCUGUUGGAUAUGACAGUAAAACUCAACAAGGAUCCAAGAGUUAGUGGUUUAUUAGUUCAACUACCUCUCCCAGAUCACAUAGAUGAACGGACAGUCUGUAACGCCAUCGUCCCUGAAAAGGAUGUGGAUGGAUUCCAUAUCAUGAAUAUUGGACGCCUGUGUCUUGAUCAGCCUUCCAUCAUCCCUGCCACUGCUGCUGCUGUCUGGGAAAUCAUAAAACGGACGGGAAUACAAACAUUUGGAAAAAAUGUUCUUGUCGCUGGAAGAUCUAAAAAUGUUGGAAUGCCUAUUUCAAUGCUUUUACAUACUGAUGGAGAGCACGAAAGGCCUGGAGGUGAUGCUACAGUGACCAUUACUCACAGAUAUACCCCAAAAGAGCAGCUCAAGAUUCAUACGCAGCUCGCUGACAUAGUAAUAGUUGCUGCAGCUCAGAGAUAUCAUCCUUCUCUUGUACCAUUUUGUGGGACUACAAGAGGAUAGUGUCUGUCCUCUUUUCUGGUCCCUUUCCCAUUCUUUCUCAUCCUCAAGAUCCAGGACUUCCUUAUGUAUUUUCUAGAUGAAGACAGACAGGUACCUGUCCAAAGCUUGUCACUUCCUGAUGAAGUGAGAUGCCCUUUCCUUCAGGGUUUAACUUCACUGCCUCUUUCCUAAGGCAGACCAGGACCAAGAAACAACUUAUUUGUCCCACAUGUAAUUGUUCAACUGUGGAUCUGACCAGAAUUCACUGCUGUGAAUAAAAGAACAAUGGUGUGCCGACUGGAAAUAAACCAGUAACUUUUCAUGCAAAUUCACUGCUUCCAAUUUAAUCAUCGCUUCUGAUUUUUGUGCUGAACAUGGUUUGUCAUUGUUUAUGCUUGGAGUUAAACGGUCCAGUAGCAAUUCAAGCAUGUUUACCUUUCACAUUACUUUCCUUGUGUCAUUUGUAACAGCAGCGUGAUACAGGACGCAUUACACAACUUAAGAUAUACUUGGAAUGAUGAAAAAAUCUAGGGUUAGGUUGUGCAAACAGCACACAGCCCUGCCCCAGUGGGUGCUCUGGGGAAGGUUGCACUUUAGAAAGGUGGAAUCACUCCAAGCUUCCUUUUGUUACAUGAGAACUGUGCACAUUGUACUUCUGGGAUCACACACUCCCCGGAAAUGGAUGACCUGCUCAGUGAGUGUUGCAAAAAAGGUAGCUUGUACCCUGCCAGGUUGGAACAGCUGCUUUUACAGGCCACUGCAGAAGAUGUGCAAAUGGGAAAGAGUUUUUUUGCAUGUGCCUGCAUGGAAGACCAAGAUUCCUUUUCCUAUGUGAUACUUUUACUAGAGCCAUCUGCAUCCUGGCUGCUGAUUGGUGACUUGUUGCAGUGAGUCUGUUCUGAUCUGAUGCUCCACCUCUGAGUGCUUUUCUGUUCACCUGCAUUCAUGGUUUUGGUAAUACCUCAAAUCACGUGCUUCUUUUCUCUGUUACUCCUGAGUGUGAGAAGAUCCAUCUCUGUGUGCUGUCUCUCAUUUGCCCCCAGGCUUGAGGCAGCUGUUUUCCUGCUUACUUGGAUUGUAACUAUCCAUGCAGUUUAUUCCUUCCUUCUUGUUCCCAACUCCUUGCACCUUGAGUUUGAACAAUGCCCUCCCUAAAAUCUCUUUCAAUACUACUCAGCUUUUGUAUUCCUGUCCAAAGCAUCGUGUUUCCUGUUAAGCACACCUGACACUUUGUAUCCCACCACAGCAUUUCCCAUCUUGGCCUGCUAUCCCUGCCUGUGCAGACAUCCCAUGGAGUCUGUUCUUUUUGCCAUUGGUUCAGCCCCAUGGCAGACGUGUAAGUGCAGCUUUACCCAGCAGUGCCCCUAGAGCCACCACAGGACAGGCAAGACGGUGAUGGAAGCAGCAGGACUCUUGAACUAGUCAGCUUGCUGCUCCUGCUCUCCAGGCCUUCCAGUCUGCUGAGAGAAACAGGACUCAUCUGGCUGCUACAUUUGGAGAGCGGGUAAAGUGAAAAAGUAAUGACUGUGCCAAAUGCCAGAUGAACUUCUGCUUGGACUACUUGCACUGUUCCUCAGGACAUGAUCUGUGGUCCUCUUGUGUAGGAAGUGCUGGUUAAUCAGACUCUUUAUUCUGAUUAGCUUUCUUAGAAAUUGGCUGUUUCACAGUCCUUGCACCUAAAGUCAGAUUAGGUAGGGCCUUGUUUUUUCCUAGUUUAAAAUGUGAUUUAUCAUUUUCUACAAAAAUUACCAAUGAAAGGUUUUCCCAUAUUCUUCAGUCAGUGCACUUUAGGAAAAGCUGCUCUAAUGUUUAUCCCUUUGUACUUGGUAUGUAAAGUAGGCUUAAGUAAAUAGAUACGCUCAUUUGGUUUGGGGGUUAGUUCAUUUGUUGCUAUUAAGUAUUUGGCUUAUUAUCAAACCAUUUUACAAAGGGUGUAACUGUGCAGCUUCCGUUAAUAUGCUUCCAGCCCUAUCACACACAGAUCAUUUACCCCCAUAAGGCUGAGACAUUAUCCAAUUACCAGCCAUGUUGCCAUGGAUUACAUCAGAGGAGGAUGAAGGAGAUGCAGUCAGAUAUUAUCAAAUGGGCUUGGAAAGUGUUUGCGAUCUUGGCUUGCUCAACAUGAGAAGCGUAGUUUCAAGCGGGUGUCUUAUGGGGGAGUGAGAAAUGGAGAGCAAAGAGUGUUCUGGUAUUGCCUGUAUCCAAAUGUCUAAAUGGCUGUGCUCCAGCACUGCACAUGGAGCCAGAGCCUUGUACACCAGCGCUUCUUCCCAAUAAAACUGCAGUUUCAAACCAUAUGCAUUUGGUUUCUCUUCCUUUUUGCCUUCUCCCUAACCUGAGAGAAAGAUGCUUUGAUGAGGAGGGGGGAGUUCAGGCUCCCUUUUUGGAGAUACUCUAAUCUUCCUCUCAGAACAAAAAACUGAUGGAAUUGCUUGUGAAGCAAGGCAAAUUGUAAUUUUUAGUUUGAAAAUUCCCAUUAGUGAAAGUUGAAGGUUGCAUGGCAGGGAAGAAAUUCCUGACAGGAGUCAUACAGCCAUGGAUACAUUUCAUUAUCUAGAUUUUGAAGUGACCUUUUGGGUUUUCUGGGUUCUGACUGAAGCACAUAUUCAUGAUGAAUAUCAAGAUGCUUCACAUUUAAGUGUACUGAAAAAAUACAGUGCAUAUGAAAAAGCUGAGGUUGCUUGUUGUGGCUGUUUUGCUGGAGUUUCUUAAUAGCAAAAAACUCAUACCCCAGGACACCACAGAGAUGCAGCCCACAAGGUGUGCAGUGCCCAGGCUGGGCCUCUUGGGUCAAGUGCAGAGGUCUCCCAGUUUGCUGUAAGUAGCAAGAAAUGGUGUUUUGUCCUCUCUGGAAGGUCAGCAUUAUGUGCUGAGAUUACCAUAACAGUUAAAAUUGCUUAUUGGUUGAGUGUGCUUCUUGAACCAAAACCAAUCCCAUGACACAAAUUUUGGUGGGAUUUUUUUGUGGUUUUGUUUGUUUAUUUGUUUUCCUCUUUUCUGUAGUAGUAGUUGUUACAAACUAUGCAAUUGAGGAGUAGUUGUUUUCAGUGUGGGGUGUAUCAAAAAAUAUUCAACUGAAAGAAUUCUCUUUUGUGCAUUUAUAUCUGUGCAUGCGCACCCCUUGAUAUCAUUCAAAACUGAUAAUCUCAGACUACCUGGCCAGGGUAAUAAAAUAUGUGUUGAUGAUUCCAGGUAUCCCAAAGUUGAUUACAACUGAUAUGGUCAAAGAAGGUGCAGCUGUGAUUGAUGUAGGAAUCAACCAUAUCCAUGAUCCUCUUACAGGAAAAACCAAAUUAGUUGGGGAUGUGGACUUUGAAGAAGUGAAGAAGAAGGCUGCCUUU